GCGGAUGUGGCGGAAUUGGCAGACGCGCAUGGUUCAGGUCCAUGUGAGGGCAACUUCAUGGGGGUUCAAGUCCCUUCAUCCGCACCA
RNAcentral lists this transfer RNA (87 nucleotides) under Clostridia bacterium. Its description in RNAcentral is "tRNA-Leu". It matches the Rfam family "tRNA". From Rfam's summary of the family: Transfer RNA (tRNA) molecules are approximately 80 nucleotides in length. Their secondary structure includes four short double-helical elements and three loops (D, anti-codon, and T loops). Lineage: Bacteria; Bacillati; Bacillota; Clostridia. RNAcentral also lists the same sequence under 1 other name. The record is from RNAcentral.